RNAcentral lists this ribosomal RNA (305 nucleotides) under uncultured bacterium. RNAcentral's name for it is "bacterial SSU rRNA". It matches the Rfam family "Bacterial small subunit ribosomal RNA", at positions 337 to 656 of the family's 1533-position model. The record is from RNAcentral.
UCCUACGGGGGGCAGCAGUGGGGGAUAUUGGACAAUGGGGGGAACCCUGAUCCAGCGACGCCGCGUGAGUGAAGAAGUAUUUCGGUAUGUAAAGCUCUGUCCGCAGGGAAGAAAGCAAUGACGGUACCUGACCAAGAAGCCCCGGCUAACUACGUGCCAGCAGCCGCGGUAAUACGUAUGGUGCAAGCGUUAUCCGGAUUUACUGGGUGUAAAGGGAGCGCAGGCGGUACGGCAAGUCUGAUGUGAAAGCCCGGGGCUCAACCCCGGUACUGCAUUGGAAACUACCGGACUGGAGUGUCGGAGGG